RNAcentral lists this ribosomal RNA (590 nucleotides) under uncultured bacterium. Its description in RNAcentral is "bacterial SSU rRNA". It matches the Rfam family "Bacterial small subunit ribosomal RNA", at positions 336 to 917 of the family's 1533-position model. The record is from RNAcentral.
UUCCUACGGGAGGCAGCAGUAGGGAAUCUUCCGCAAUGGACGAAAGUCUGACGGAGCAACGCCGCGUGAGUGAUGAAGGCUUUCGGGUCGUAAAACUCUGUUGUUAGGGAAGAACAAGUGCUAGUUGAAUAAGCUGGCACCUUGACGGUACCUAACCAGAAAGCCACGGCUAACUACGUGCCAGCAGCCGCGGUAAUACGUAGGUGGCAAGCGUUAUCCGGAAUUAUUGGGCGUAAAGCGCGCGCAGGUGGUUUCUUAAGUCUGAUGUGAAAGCCCACGGCUCAACCGUGGAGGGUCAUUGGAAACUGGGAGACUUGAGUGCAGAAGAGGAAAGUGGAAUUCCAUGUGUAGCGGUGAAAUGCGUAGAGAUAUGGAGGAACACCAGUGGCGAAGGCGACUUUCUGGUCUGUAACUGACACUGAGGCGCGAAAGCGUGGGGAGCAAACAGGAUUAGAUACCCUGGUAGUCCACGCCGUAAACGAUGUCUACUUGGAGGUUGUGGCCUUGAGCCGUGGCUUUCGGAGCUAACGCGUUAAGUAGACCGCCUGGGGAGUACGGUCGCAAGAUUAAAACUCAAAUGAAUUGACGGA